GAUGAACGCUGACAGAAUGCUUAACACAUGCAAGUCGAUGGGGAAGUGGUGCUUGCACCAUGGUAACCAUGGCGGACGGGUGAGUAACGCGUAAGGAACUUGCCUGCGGGACUGGGAUAACAGCAGGAAACUGCUGAUAAUACCGGAUAAGGUCAUUAAGCUGCAUAGCUUAGUGAUGAAAGGAGACGCCUGCGGAGAGCCUUGCGUCCUAUUAGCUAGUUGGAGGGGUAACGGCCCACCAAGGCGAAGAUAGGUAGCCGGCCUGAGAGGGUGGACGGCCAGAAGGGGACUGAGAUACGGCGCUUACUCCUACGGGAGGAAGCAGUGGGGAAUAUUGGACAAUGGGGGCAACACUGAUACAGCAAUUCUGUGUGCACGAAGACGGUUUUCGGAUUGUAAAGUGCUUUCAGCAGGGAAGAAGGAAGUGACGGUACCUGCAGAAGAAGCGACGGCUAAAUACGUG
Molecule: ribosomal RNA, 463 nt
Filed under: uncultured bacterium
Lineage: Bacteria
Description: partial 16S ribosomal RNA
Rfam family: Bacterial small subunit ribosomal RNA
Source: RNAcentral